Long non-coding RNA from Sitodiplosis mosellana (orange wheat blossom midge), 1017 nucleotides. RefSeq lists it as uncharacterized. Lineage: Eukaryota; Metazoa; Arthropoda; Insecta; Diptera; Cecidomyiidae. The transcript has 3 exons. The record is from RefSeq and is a predicted model, not a curated record.
CAAAUUCGAGUUGUUCACAUUGACAAGUGUGUGUGUGUGCUCCAAACUUUAGGAUUCAACACCAAGAAAUUCAGAUGAUUUAAUAAAUGCAAGUUUGUAAAUUUCGAAGAAAAAAGUCGCUUGAUAUCAAUGACGCGAUAUUUGUGACCAUGCCCCAGAAGUAUGCAGCAAUUCCAUGUGUUUUCUCUUCAAGUUUUUGUUUCAAAUGUUCAAACUUUUCCGUCCGUCAAGUGGUAUCAGAUCAAAAUGCAAAAACAGGUCUUAGUCGGUGUUCUGCUUCAAAAAAGCAAAGAAAUUACGGAAUUUUUGUUAUUUAGAAAUGUUAUUUCCAGGUUGGUUCGCUGAUUUCUCACUUUUCAAUCAGAAUUCAUGCUCGUCAAUAAAUAUGAUUCAUUUGCAAGUGCGUUGCUGAAGUUGCACCAAAAAGAAACAACCACAGAGCUUUCAUCCAUAAAAAGAGUUUUGAAUUUCAAAUUUUACUUCAGUAUUGAAUUGACAUCAAGUGAAUCAAGUUCGGUGCAAAGCAUGGAGGGAGCAGAAAAUAAACCAUUUACUCGGUACUGGCUACCGCGGGCUUACUACGAUUGUAGCAAGUGUAACCACAGCUGGUCAUGGAUCAUUCCUUACGCUGAACGCGAACAGGCCAAAAAAUGUCCACGUUGUCGAUCUGAUUGUGUCCCACGUCAUAUUCAUAUGAGACUUUAGAUGGUACACAAUUUCGUUCCCAAAUAGCGAUACAAAGAGAGAAAAAUGUGGACAUCUCAAAUACCACUCAAGACACAUUGUGGUCCAAAAAAUUUACAAAUGAAGACCAGUGCUGAAAGAACAUUUAUUUUCUCUUCAUUGUUCUUACUUGUCUCGAACGAAUAAAUUGUUUGAUUAACACAUUUAAUGGAAUAAUCAGCGAAAUUGUUUUGUUUUCAUUCAAAAAUCAUCGUUUCAUCUUUUUUAGAGUCAUGAAUAAUUUUUACCACCGCUUCAAGAGAAACAAUUUCAAUCCAUAUGCUGAGACAGGAU